RNAcentral lists this ribosomal RNA (507 nucleotides) under uncultured Prevotellaceae bacterium. RNAcentral's name for it is "partial 16S ribosomal RNA". Lineage: Bacteria; Pseudomonadati; Bacteroidota; Bacteroidia; Bacteroidales; Prevotellaceae. The record is from RNAcentral.
CACGGAAUUAGCCGGUCCUUUUCUGAAGGUACAUACAAGAAGGGACAAGUCCCUUUUUUAUUCCCAACUAAAAGCAGUUUACAACCCGGGGGCCGUCAUCCUGCACGCUACUUGGCUGGUUCAGGCUCUCGCCCAUUGACCAAUAUUCCUCACUGCUGCCUCCCGUAGGAGUCUGGACCGUGUCUCAGUUCCAGUGUGGGGGACCUUCCUCUCAGAACCCCUACCGAUCGAAGGCUAGGUGGGCCGUUACCCGCCUACUACCUAAUCGGACGCAUCACCAUCUCAUACCGAUAAAUCUUGGUACUCUCCAUGCGAGAAAGCAACAACAUCGGGUAUUAAUCUUACUUUCGCAAGGCUAUCCCCGAGUAUGAGGCAGGUUUGAUACGCGUUACGCACCGUGCGCCGGUCGCCGGCGAUUGAAGACAAGCUUCAACCCGCUCGCCCUCGACUUGCGACUGUGUUAAGCCUGUUAGCGUAGCGUUCUAUCCUGUAGCCAGGAUACUAAAC